GAUGAACGCUGGCGGCGUGCCUAAUACAUGCAAGUCGAGCGAACGGACGAGAAGCUUGCUUCUCUGAUGUUAGCGGCGGACGGGUGAGUGACACGUGGUUAACCUACCUAUAAGACUGGGAUAACUUCGGGAAACCGGAGCUAAUACCGGAUAAUAUUUUGAACCGCAUGGUUCAAAAGUGAAAGACGGUCUUGCUGUCACUUAUAGAUGGAUCCGCGCUGCAUUAGCUAGUUGGUAAGGUAACGGCUUACCAAGGCAACGAUGCAUAGCCGACCUGAGAGGGUGAUCGGCCACACUGGAACUGAGACACGGUCCAGACUCCUACGGGAGGCAGCAGUAGGGAAUCUUCCGCAAUGGGCGAAAGCCUGACGGAGCAACGCCGCGUGAGUGAUGAAGGUCUUCGGAUCGUAAAACUCUGUUAUUAGGGAAGAACAUAUGUGUAAGUAACUGUGCACAUCUUGACGGUACCUAAUCAGAAAGCCACGGCUAACUACGUG
RNAcentral lists this ribosomal RNA (497 nucleotides) under uncultured bacterium. RNAcentral describes it as "partial 16S ribosomal RNA". It matches the Rfam family "Bacterial small subunit ribosomal RNA", at positions 28 to 507 of the family's 1533-position model. The record is from RNAcentral.